CCUGGUGGCUCAGAUGGUAAAGCGUCUGCCUGCAAUGCGGGAGACCUAGGUUUAAUCCCUAGGUCAGGA
RNAcentral lists this transfer RNA (69 nucleotides) under Ovis aries (sheep). It matches the Rfam family "tRNA". Rfam says of the family: Transfer RNA (tRNA) molecules are approximately 80 nucleotides in length. Their secondary structure includes four short double-helical elements and three loops (D, anti-codon, and T loops). Further hydrogen bonds mediate the characteristic L-shaped molecular structure. tRNAs have two regions of fundamental functional importance: the anti-codon, which is responsible for specific mRNA codon recognition, and the 3' end, to which the tRNAs corresponding amino acid is attached (by aminoacyl-tRNA synthetases). tRNAs cope with the degeneracy of the genetic code in two manners: having more than one tRNA (with a specific anti-codon) for a particular amino acid; and 'wobble' base-pairing, i.e. permitting non-standard base-pairing at the 3rd anti-codon position. Lineage: Eukaryota; Metazoa; Chordata; Mammalia; Artiodactyla; Bovidae. The record is from Rfam by way of RNAcentral.